AUUGAACGCUGGCGGCAGGCCUAACACAUGCAAGUCGAACGAGUGGCGGACGGGCGAGUAAUGCAGUGGAACCUAGCUAACGGAGGGGGCUAACUACGGGAAACCGUAGCUACAACCGCUUACCAUCCGAUGGGCCCACGUGGGAUUAGGUAGUUGGUGAGGUAACGGCUCACCAAGGCGACGAUCCCUAGCUGGUCUGAGAGGAUGACCGGCCACACUGGGACUGAGACACGGCCCAGACUCCUACGGGAGGCAGCAGUGGGGAAUAUUGCGCAAUGGGAGCAAGCCUGACGGAGCCAUGCCGCGUGAGUGAAGAAGGCCUUCGGGUUGUAAAGUUCUUUCGGUAGAGAGGCGUUACCUACCGAAGAAGCACCGGCUAACUCCGUGCCAGCAGCCGCGGUAAUUC
This 406-nucleotide ribosomal RNA is filed under the name uncultured bacterium. RNAcentral describes it as "partial 16S ribosomal RNA". It matches the Rfam family "Bacterial small subunit ribosomal RNA", at positions 30 to 526 of the family's 1533-position model. The record is from RNAcentral.